GAUGAACGCUGGCGGCGUGCCUAAUACAUGCAAGUCGAGCGAACAGACGAGGAGCUUGCUCCUCUGACGUUAGCGGCGGACGGGUGAGUAACACGUGGAUAACCUACCUAUAAGACUGGGAUAACUUCGGGAAACCGGAGCUAAUACCGGAUAAUAUAUUGAACCGCAUGGUUCUAUAGUGAAAGACGGUUUUGCUGUCACUUAUAGAUGGAUCCGCGCCGCAUUAGCUAGUUGGUAAGGUAACGGCUUACCAAGGCAACGAUGCGUAGCCGACCUGAGAGGGUGAUCGGCCACACUGGAACUGAGACACGGUCCAGACUCCUACGGGAGGCAGCAGUAGGGAAUCUUCCGCAAUGGGCGAAAGCCUGACGGAGCAACGCCGCGUGAGUGAUGAAGGUCUUCGGAUCGUAAAACUCUGUUAUUAGGGAAGAACAAAUGUGUAAGUAACUAUGCACGUCUUGACGGUACCUAAUCAGAAAGCCACGGCUAACUACGU
RNAcentral lists this ribosomal RNA (496 nucleotides) under uncultured bacterium. Its description in RNAcentral is "partial 16S ribosomal RNA". It matches the Rfam family "Bacterial small subunit ribosomal RNA", at positions 28 to 506 of the family's 1533-position model. The record is from RNAcentral.